AGACCCGAAACCCGGUGAUCUAGCCAUGGGCAGGUUGAAGGUUGGGUAACACUAACUGGAGGACCGAACCGACUAAUGUUGAAAAAUUAGCGGAUGACCUGUGGCUGGGGGUGAAAGGCCAAUCAAACCGGGAGAUAGCUGGUUCUCCCCGAAAGCUAUUUAGGUAGCGCCUCGUGAAUUCAUCUCCGGGGGUAGAGCACUGUUUCGGCUAGGGGGCCAUCCCGGCUUACCAACCCGAUGCAAACUGCGAAUACCGGAGAAUGUUAUCACGGGAGACACACGGCGGGUGCUAACGUCCGUCGUGAAGAGGGAAACAACCCAGACCGCCAGCUAAGGUCCCAAAGUCAUGGUUAAGUGGGAAACGAUGUGGGAAGGCCCAGACAGCCAGGAUGUUGGCUUAGAAGCAGCCAUCAUUUAAAGAAAGCGUAAUAGCUCACUGGUCGAGUCGGCCUGCGCGGAAGAUGUAACGGGGCUAAACCAUGCACCGAAGCUGCGGCAGCGACACUCAGGUGUUGUUGGGUAGGGGAGCGUUCUGUAAGCCUGUGAAGGUGGCCUGUGAGGGUUGCUGGAGGUAUCAGAAGUGCGAAUGCUGACAUAAGUAACGAUAAAGCGGGUGAAAAGCCCGCUCGCCGGAAGACCAAGGGUUCCUGUCCAACGUUAAUCGGGG
This 667-nucleotide ribosomal RNA is filed under the name Salmonella enterica subsp. enterica serovar Virchow. RNAcentral's name for it is "partial 23S ribosomal RNA". It matches the Rfam family "Bacterial large subunit ribosomal RNA", at positions 711 to 1374 of the family's 2925-position model. The record is from RNAcentral. Lineage: Bacteria; Pseudomonadati; Pseudomonadota; Gammaproteobacteria; Enterobacterales; Enterobacteriaceae.